GAUGAACGCUGGCGGCGUGCCUAAUACAUGCAAGUCGAGCGAACAGACGAGGAGCUUGCUCCUCUGACGUUAGCGGCGGACGGGUGAGUAACACGUGGAUAACCUACCUAUAAGACUGGGAUAACUUCGGGAAACCGGAGCUAAUACCGGAUAAUAUAUUGAACCGCAUGGUUCAAUAGUGAAAGACGGUUUUGCUGUCACUUAUAGAUGGAUCCGCGCCGCAUUAGCUAGUUGGUAAGGUAACGGCUUACCAAGGCAACGAUGCGUAGCCGACCUGAGAGGGUGAUCGGCCACACUGGACCUGAGACCCGGUCCAGACUCCUACGGGAGGCAGCAGUAGGGAAUCUUCCGCAAUGGGCGAAAGCCUGACGGAGCAACGCCGCGUGAGUGAUGAAGGUCUUCGGUUCGUAAACCUCUGUUAUUAGGGAAGAACAAAUGUGUAAGUAACUAUGCCCGUCUGGACGGUACCUAAUCAGAAAGCCACGGCUAACUACGU
RNAcentral lists this ribosomal RNA (496 nucleotides) under uncultured bacterium. RNAcentral describes it as "partial 16S ribosomal RNA". It matches the Rfam family "Bacterial small subunit ribosomal RNA", at positions 28 to 506 of the family's 1533-position model. The record is from RNAcentral.